Molecule: ribosomal RNA, 468 nt
Filed under: uncultured bacterium
Lineage: Bacteria
Description: partial 16S ribosomal RNA
Rfam family: Bacterial small subunit ribosomal RNA
Source: RNAcentral
GACGAACGCUGGCGGCGUGCUUAACACAUGCAAGUCGAACGGAAAGGCCCUGCUUUUGUGGGGUGCUCGAGUGGCGAACGGGUGAGUAACACGUGAGUAACCUGCACUUGACUUUGGGAUAACUUCAGGCAACUGGGGAUAAUACCGGAUAGGAGCUCCUGCUGCAUGGUGGGGGUUGGAGAGUUUCGGCGGUUGGGGAUGGACUCGAGGCUUAUAAGCAUGUUUGGGGGGUAGUGGCUUCCCAAGGCUUUGGCGGGUAGCCGGCCCGAGAGGGGGAACGGCCACAGUGGGACCGGGAUACGGCCCAUACUCCUACGGGAGGCAGCAGGGGGGAAUAUUGCACAAUGGGCGGAAGCCUGAUGCAGCAACGCCGCGUGUGGGAUGACGGCCUUCGGGUUGUAAACCGCUUUCGCCUGUGACGAAGCGUGAGUGACGGUAAUGGGUAAAGAAGCACCGGCUAACUACGUG